GAUGAACGCUGGCGGCGUGCCUAAUACAUGCAAGUCGAGCGAACAGACGAGGAGCUUGCUCCUCUGACGUUAGCGGCGGACGGGUGAGUAACACGUGGAUAACCUACCUAUAAGACUGGGAUAACUUCGGGAAACCGGAGCUAAUACCGGAUAAUAUAUUGAACCGCAUGGUUCAAUAGUGAAAGACGGUUUUGCUGUCACUUAUAGAUGGAUCCGCGCCGCAUUAGCUAGUUGGUAAGGUAACGGCUUACCAAGGCGACGAUGCGUAGCCGACCUGCGAGGGGGAUAGGCCACAUUGGAACUGAGACACGGUCAAGACUCCUAAGGGAGGCAGCAGUAGGGAAUCUGACGCAAUGGGCGAAAGCCUGACGGAGCAACGCCGCGUGAGUGAUGAAGGUCUUCGGAUCGUAAAACUCUGUUAUUAGGGAAGAACAAAUGUGUAAGUAACUAUGCACGGCUUGACGGUACCUAAUCAGAAAGCCACGGCUAACUACGUG
Molecule: ribosomal RNA, 497 nt
Filed under: uncultured bacterium
Lineage: Bacteria
Description: partial 16S ribosomal RNA
Rfam family: Bacterial small subunit ribosomal RNA
Source: RNAcentral